AUGAGAGAGAGAAAUAAGGUGAAAAAUUGGGCAGAUAGGCAGCGAACCUGAAACCUGAGAGGUACCUCACAGUGAAGCUGGCCACGAAACCAAUGUGCGCUCCGUCUGGACAAUUUUUUUUUUCCGAUACAAGUGUGGACAAGAUAUCUAAGACUAUAUGUUUUUAGGGUAUCUAAAAUAAUACUCCCUCCGUCCGAAUUACUUGUCGAUGAGAUAAAUAUAUCUGGAUAUAUUUUAUUUCUAAAUACAUCCAUUUUUAUUCAUUUUUGUGACAAGUAUUUUCGAACGGAGGGAGUAUGUAGUAGUUUGCUUUCCGUACCGCUUGCCUUCAGUAGCACUUGGGCUGGCCCAGUGGUAUAGCGUACCAUUUUCUUAUCUUCAAGCGAUUUUCCUAUUGCGUAUUCUAUUGGUUUUAUUUUUAUUUUGUUUUACCAACUUGUUCUUUAUUUGUAAGUUUAUUUACUUCCAUAUUGAGAAUUUAUUGUGUAUUUUAUUUUCUUUUUUCAUUAUUUUGUACCUUGAAGUAAGCAUGAACUUUUUCCAGACUUUGUGUGGAUUUUAAAUACAUGUAUGCAUUAAAGUGCUGCGAAAUAUUCCUUCAUGCAACUUGAAUGAGAGCUCAGUCUAUAGCAGAAUAGCAAAAUCAGUGAACAUGUAAAAAGGAUUACAGUACAAUGGAGAACUCGGGUAUUAUUAUAUGUCCCCUUUCAUUUUUCAUUUUCUAAUGGAGUAUGUUAUCUUGUGUGUUUUGCCAUGUUUAUACGCAGUCCUUCAGUCGCUUUCUGGACCACCUUUCCAUAGCUGUUAUCCAAAAUGAGUGAAUGGGCCAAUCUGCAUUCAGGUCUUGAAAGGGAGUUCGGGCCUUGUGUGACUGCAGAUCAUGCAAAAUUUGCAGAGCCAGCAAGCUUUGCUGUGCGCGCACAGCUUCAGGCAAGAAAUUCGGAUCAGAAACGGGAGGCGGAGACACGCCAAGGCCUGAAGUAGCUGGAGGCGCCGCGUCGUCAGCGACAUACGACAUGACGAGCCCGAUGGAUGGGCCUCGCCGGUUCGCCCUGUCGACUUGCUGCCUCACCCUGUCCAUCCCGGGCAGGGCCGGCAAGGCUGUUGUCGACGAGCCUGCCAGGUGCCAGCAAGCAGAGCAGCAGGACUAGCGGCAGGCUGGAGAGCUCCAUGGCCGUGGCUGGCAUAAAACUUGGAAGCACGAUGAGGGGAUGGAGCAGUUUAAUUACCUCCGCGUUGAGUGGUGAGCGUGAUGAUGUGCUCUAAUUGUUUAUACAUGGAUAUGGUUGAAGAUGUCUCUGUCAGGGGAUUUGGGUUAUCAAGCAAAAUCCGUGUUGAAUUUUGUACCGGGGAAAACAUGGCAAUACAGAGGAGGAUUGUUUGUUGUUUU
This is a long non-coding RNA of Triticum urartu, 1390 nucleotides long. RefSeq lists it as uncharacterized. The record is from RefSeq and is a predicted model, not a curated record. Lineage: Eukaryota; Viridiplantae; Streptophyta; Magnoliopsida; Poales; Poaceae.